AAGUGUGGAAAUAAAACCUUUCAUUAUGGAACUUAGGGCGAUAAUAUUCAUGGUUUUCGUCAUUCUAGCGCUGCAGUUCGCAUCAGUUGCAUUUGGUGAUCACGGAAAUGAAGUACUACAAAUGGAUUAUCCGCAACAACCAAGAUGGAAGCAAGUUAUCUGUGGUUGUCCAUAAAUAAAAAAAUAAUUACAUAUGUCUAAUUUCACAGUA
Bactrocera latifrons is the source of this 211-nucleotide long non-coding RNA. RefSeq lists it as uncharacterized. NCBI's taxonomy places the organism in Eukaryota, Metazoa, Arthropoda, Insecta, Diptera, Tephritidae. The transcript has 2 exons. The record is from RefSeq and is a predicted model, not a curated record.